Molecule: long non-coding RNA, 127 nt
Organism: Protobothrops mucrosquamatus (brown spotted pit viper)
Lineage: Eukaryota; Metazoa; Chordata; Lepidosauria; Squamata; Viperidae
Exons: 3
Source: RefSeq, a predicted model, not a curated record
GCUCUAUGAAUAUGUGCAAAAGGCCUUCAGUAUUGAUCCAGAAGAGCAUCAAAUUAUAUUACAGAGAGUCAAAGAGCUAGAGAGGCCAAUUUUUUGUCUUAAAGCCACGGUGAAGCAAGCCAGAAGU